Eubalaena glacialis (North Atlantic right whale) is the source of this 1101-nucleotide long non-coding RNA. RefSeq lists it as uncharacterized. The transcript is spliced from 3 exons. Lineage: Eukaryota; Metazoa; Chordata; Mammalia; Artiodactyla; Balaenidae. The record is from RefSeq and is a predicted model, not a curated record.
AGUCUGUCCAUGUGAAUGUGCUGUGUGGAAGAGUAAAAGGGUCCAAGUAAAUGUGUUCCAGUGAUUCCAAUAGCUAUUUAGCUGGUACCUACCGCUAUAUCACCUAGUGUGAAAUUUCGGAUUUAAUGGAAUAAUGAAGGAAGCGGUGCAGCUGGAGGCUUCAAGUGGGCUUGGAAGGUCUCCAAUUUAUGCAGUCAUUCCGCUGUGAAAGUGAACUAACCUUGUUAUUAUUGAAGGCCUUGGAAAUUUUUACCAGCCGAGAGAUUUUUCUCUUACUCAGGGUAAGAUGUAAUCAUAGUGUGCUAGAGCUGGAAGGGACUUGACUUACUUAAUCCAUUUGCCUGAUUUCGUAUGUUACAUGUUAUCAAACUGAAGCUGAGAACAUAAGUGGCCUGCACAGCUUGUUAAAUAUCAAAUUUGAUUAGUACUUAUCAAUUCCUCCACCCCACCCCAACUCAUGCCUUUUAAAACGUGAGUGACUGUCACAUGGAAUUUUUAACAUAAUUGUUUAAGAUCAAUUUGAAUAAUAUAGACUGCACUCAGCUUUGAUUUGUGUCAGUAACGGCAGGCAGAUGAUCUUGAAAAAACUUCAUUCUCUUUUCUAAUAACCUUCCCUUGUUAAUGUCCAAGUCUUUCCUUUGGUGGCUGCCAGAUGAUGAGGAUCAAUAAAAAUCUCUUAGAACAUACAUGCUUGACAGUGUCACUCAUGAUAGGGCAUUUGGUAAACCAUAUAGCUUGUGUACCCUAACCCUCAUAAUGACAGCCAUAAGAAGGUGAGCAUGGGAGGGAAAAUGCUACCUCUCUUGUGAACUGGAGCAGGCCCCUACCAAUCCUGAAAACGGAUUCAGAACAAAAUAAAGUUUCAAAACAUCUCUUCCUUGAUCUGUUCAGCUCACCGUGAUAAUCAGUAGGACCAGUAAUAAUGCCAUAAUCCUAUCCACUGGUGUCUUCUUUCAUACUUACCAUUCCUUAACCAGAAAGGUCUCUAAGCCUGUGUUUUAAGUAAUGUUGAUAUUUAUUAAACCAAAAAUGAUGAAUGAAUGAAUAAAUGCUGUGGACUUAGUUGGGUGUUGGGUGCUUUUUUUAAAUGGCAGCCAAUUG